UGCAAUGAGUAAGCCUCGCCCUGGGAAAACCACCUUCGUGAUCAUGGUAUCUCCCCUGCCAGGGCCACUCUUCUCUACAAUUAAUAUGAGCAAUCAGUAGUUGGAGUAAUGCCUCUGAACUCAGAGUUGGCUGCAGGAUGGACGGCACAAAACUAGAGACUUGGAGCACCGGACGGUAUCGAAGGGUGCACCUUCAGGCAUGGAAGACAAAAUGCAGGGCACAAAUGAAGAACCAGAGCCCAGACUAAGUGGCCUGUUAGUACGGCUGCUAUUAAAUUCUUACUUUACUUAGCUUUGUUAAUAUUUAGGUCUCAUCUACUCAUGAUUGUAAACUCAGACACUCUCUAAAACUAUCUUUCCCAGUUCUCAGUCUCCUUUAAAAAAAGAAAAAUGAGUUGCCGCUUAUAUAGCAAAUGUGUCUUUGGGACCUACCUACAAUUCGCCCAACAUGCUAAGUGUUACUGAAAACUCAAAAGAAGAAAUAUACUCUGCUCUCAAGUGACUUUUAUUCUCAUUGUAAAGACAAGAACAACACACAUCAACUAACAGAAAAAAUAAUAAAACAAA
This is a long non-coding RNA of Diceros bicornis minor, 567 nucleotides long. RefSeq lists it as uncharacterized. The transcript is spliced from 3 exons. Lineage: Eukaryota; Metazoa; Chordata; Mammalia; Perissodactyla; Rhinocerotidae. The record is from RefSeq and is a predicted model, not a curated record.